RNAcentral lists this ribosomal RNA (403 nucleotides) under uncultured bacterium. RNAcentral's name for it is "partial 16S ribosomal RNA". It matches the Rfam family "Bacterial small subunit ribosomal RNA", at positions 30 to 526 of the family's 1533-position model. The record is from RNAcentral.
AUUGAACGCUAGCGGGAUGCUUUACACAUGCAAGUCGAGCGAGCGGCGGACGGGUGAGUAAUGUAUGGGGACUGCCCGAUAGAGGGGGAUAACUACUGGAAACGGUAGCUAAUACUGCAUACUAUCGGAUAACCCAUAUGGGAUUAGCUAGUAGGUGAGGUAAUGGCUCACCUAGGCGACGAUCCCUAGCUGGUCUGAGAGGAUGAUCAGCCCCACGGGGACUGAGACACGGCCCAGACUCCUACGGAGUAAGAGGUGGGGAAGAGUGCACAAUGGGCGCGAGCCUGAUGCAGCCAUGCCGCGUGUAUGAAGAAGGCCCUAGGGUUGUAAAGUACUUUCAGUCGGGAGGCGUUACCGACAGAAGAAGCACCGGCUAACUCCGUGCCAGCAGCCGCGGUAAUUC